UACGUAGGGGGCAAGCGUUGUCCGGAGUUAUUGGGCGUAAAGAGCGUGUAGGCGGUUUGGUAGGUCCGUUGUGAAAACUCGAGGCUCAACCUCGAGACGCCGGCGGAAACCAUCAGGCUAGAGUCCGGAAGAGGAGAGUGGAAUUCCUGGUGUAGCGGUGAAAUGCGCAGAUAUCAGGAAGAACACCCGUGGCUAAGGCGGCUCUCUAGUACGGUACUGACGCUGAGACGCGAAAGCGUGGGGAGCGAACAGG
RNAcentral lists this ribosomal RNA (253 nucleotides) under uncultured bacterium. RNAcentral describes it as "partial 16S ribosomal RNA". It matches the Rfam family "Bacterial small subunit ribosomal RNA", at positions 524 to 776 of the family's 1533-position model. The record is from RNAcentral.